UACGAAGGGGGCUAGCGUUGCUCGGAAUUACUGGGCGUAAAGCGCACGUAGGCGGAUCUUUAAGUCAGGGGUGAAAUCCUGGAGCUCAACUCCAGAACUGCCUUUGAUACUGAGGACCUUGAGUUCGGGAGAGGUGAGUGGAACUGCGAGUGUAGAGGUGAAAUUCGUAGAUAUUGGGAAGAACACCAGUGGCGAAGGCGGCUCACUGGCUCGUAUCUGACGCUCAGGCGCGAUAGCGUGGGGAUCAAACAGG
RNAcentral lists this ribosomal RNA (253 nucleotides) under uncultured bacterium. RNAcentral describes it as "partial 16S ribosomal RNA". It matches the Rfam family "Bacterial small subunit ribosomal RNA", at positions 524 to 776 of the family's 1533-position model. The record is from RNAcentral.